This 588-nucleotide long non-coding RNA is filed under the name Lactuca sativa (garden lettuce). RNAcentral's name for it is "long non-coding RNA (LSAT_LNC002256)". Lineage: Eukaryota; Viridiplantae; Streptophyta; Magnoliopsida; Asterales; Asteraceae. The record is from RNAcentral.
CUGUAAGCACGAAGCUUAGUGAGCUCCCCCAAAUUACCACAUACCAUACAAUAAUAUAUCAAGCACAUACGGGGCCUUGCCCCCUCCAUCGGACCAAAGUCCGAAGCUGACUGACUGGGACCUUAUCCCCUACAUCGGGCCGAAGUCCGAAGCUGACAUCGGACCGAAGUCCGAAGCUAACUGGGACCUUGUCCCCUACAUCGAACCAAAGUCCGAAGCUGACAUCGGGCCGAAGUCCGAAGCUAACUGGGACCUUGUCCCCUACAUCGAACCGAAGUCCGAAGCUGACAUCGGACCGAAGUCCGAAGCUAACUGAUCAUAGCAUAACAUAUCACUAACAUGAACACACAUAAUCUUGUCUGAGCCACGAAGGCAUCAAACAUGCUAACUACUGCAUCGGAUAACAUCCGGAUACUACUGCUAGCUAAACGGGCCGGCAUUGUGGCCUUAGACCCGUUCCUACUGAAAGGGAACUCACCUCGAAAACUGGCGGCUGAGUGUGUGUGUCUCUGAAAGCUACCGGCUGCUGCUCCUGAAUCUCCUCGGCUACAAGCCCAUGAACACACUCAAUCAAAUACUAAACACUGC